GACGAACGCUGGCGGCGUGCUUAACACAUGCAAGUCGAACGGAAAGGCUCCAGCUUGCUGGAGUGCUCGAGUGGCGAAAGGGUGAGUAACACGUGGGUAAUCUGCCCUGCACUCUGGGAUAAGCCUGGGAAACUUGGUCUAGUACAGGAUAUGACCUUUCUCCUUAUGUGGUUUGGUGGCAAGUUUUUCGGUUUAGGAUGAGAUCGCGGCCUAUCAGCUUGUUGGUGGGGUGAUGGAUUACCAAGGCGACGACGGGUAGCCGGCCUGAGCGGGGGAGCGGCCACGUUGGAUCUGAGAUACGGCACAGACUACUACGGGACGCAGCGGUGGGGAAUAUUACACAAUGGGAGGAAGCCUAAUGCAGCGACGCCGCGUGAGGGAAGACGGCAUUCGGGUUGUAACCCUCUUUCAGCAGGGACGAAGCGUAAGUGACGGUACCUGCAGAAGAAGCACCGGCUAACUAUGUG
RNAcentral lists this ribosomal RNA (467 nucleotides) under uncultured bacterium. RNAcentral's name for it is "partial 16S ribosomal RNA". It matches the Rfam family "Bacterial small subunit ribosomal RNA", at positions 28 to 507 of the family's 1533-position model. The record is from RNAcentral.